Long non-coding RNA from Lineus longissimus, 2499 nucleotides. RefSeq lists it as uncharacterized. The transcript has 4 exons. The record is from RefSeq and is a predicted model, not a curated record. Lineage: Eukaryota; Metazoa; Nemertea; Pilidiophora; Heteronemertea; Lineidae.
UUUGUGAUUGGUGAUUUGUAAAAUUGAGAAUGAUUGAAAAAUCAGUAUUUUUUCACCCAAAGGCAUGAGGGAACAUUUGAUAAGUUUAUUGUGAUUUAAUUGGUAAUUUGGUCGACAUUUUGACAAUUAUAUUUAGCAAUAUUUCGAUAAAUGCGGACCUGCUUCUUCCUCUUUUCGUAGUGUUUCGAUAACUCAGGUCAGUUUCACGGCAAAAAUAAGUGGUAGUUUUGAAUUUCGAAUGUGCAUUUAUUGAUGUAACGAUAAAGUACAUUUCGGAGAAUAAUUAGUGAAAGUUUCAUUAGACUUCGAGAUCUACAUUUUCGACAAAGGCCUGGUGUAACAUUAUUACGUACUUGAUGAAGGUAAUAUUAAUUUCUUCAAAUUUGAAGCAUGACGUUAAUGGAGUACCAGCACAACUUCAUUGACUGCUACGUGGCGCUGGUGGAAACUAAGGUAUUGCAUCGCUCAUAUCACUUGAAAAAAACAUUUACCCUAGUUACGACCAAAGCUGCUUAGCAGAGGGCGAUACCUCAUCAGGAGCGCCACAAUCAUAUCAUUGGUGUGAAAGCAUUUGUAUGAAGUUUUUCAGUUCUCGAUGUGUUCGAAACCUUAAUUGUGAAUUUGUGCACUUCGAAUUCAAAUUUACGUCACUACGUUAGUUUGACAUCCAUUGAUGUCACGGUAAUUUCACUGUUAUGCUGUGCUGCUUUCAGGUUUAAUGACACGAAUGAGUACAAGUACAUUACAUUUUUCGACGAAGGCCUUCUGUAAUUUCAUACGCUUCUUACGCAACAUUCAAUAGAUUUAUUUACUGUAUUAUCAUUUCGACCAAGGCGAAUUCGACACUUCAAUUACACAAGCACAAUCAAACUUAGUCAUUCCAGUCAGUUACUGAAGCACAGCGAAAACUGUCUGAAUUAGUGCUGCUGAUGGCAUGUAAUUACUCUACUACCACUACCAGUGACAGUAAAUGUCCAUAUAUUUUCAAGUGUGCGAAAUUAGUACUCGUCUACUUCUUAGUGUUAUUUGAAUGCAAUGUAUGUUAUAAAAAUAUUUUUUCAACACUAUAUCAACAUUCUCAUUCCUGUCAGUUUCUGAAAAUCAGCUAAAGCAAUCGCUACCAAUGCAGCUGAUAACAGCAAUUCUUUUUGUUCCCAAUGCCCAUCCAUGACAAUAUAUUUCACGCAUGUGACAAUCAUGGUAUCAUCCUGUUUUUUGUGUUCUAUUCAUGCAAUAAAUAAAUUCAGUAUUUUCAAAUCAUUGGUGCUACAAAACUAUUCUCAUUAUAGAUUAUUCAUAUUUUAUAAAAUGCUGUCAUGUCAAAUUUUGUGUCCUAUAAAUCAUUAUGAAGUCGGCAUUUUAUGCAAUGUAUGUUAUAAAAAUAUUUUUUCAACACUAUAUCAACAUUCUCAUUCCUGUCAGUUUCUGAAAAUCAGCUAAAGCAAUCGCUACCAAUGCAGCUGAUAACAGCAAUUCUUUUUGUUCCCAAUGCCCAUCCAUGACAAUAUAUUUCACGCAUGUGACAAUCAUGGUAUCAUCCUGUUUUUUGUGUUCUAUUCAUGCAAUAAAUAAAUUCAGUAUUUUCAAAUCAUUGGUGCUACAAAACUAUUCUCAUUAUAGAUUAUUCAUAUUUUAUAAAAUGCUGUCAUGUCAAAUUUUGUAUCCUAUAAAUCAUUAUGAAGUCGGCAUUUUAUAUACAACUUUUGUACUCCUAAAUAAACAUACAAAUCUUGUUUUAUGUAAACUUUGUACAUGUGACCCGUCACAGCAAAACCAGGCGCAUGUCGCUCUGAGCUUGGCAGGUUGAGACGGACUGUUUGUUCAUUUAUCUAUUGUCUGCCUUUUGUAAAAUAUGAGCACAUCAAUUUCUUCCAUUAUCUCCUGGUGUCAUUUAGGCUCAUCUUCUGUGCGACAUGUACCUGGUUUUGCUGUGACGGGUCACAUAUUCUAUAGAUAUACAACACUCUAAUGUCACAAUGCCUCUCUCACUCGCUUUUAUAGAGCAAGAUGUAUGAAUAAACAUGACACACCAACUAUGUACAAAAUUGGUAACAAACUGCACCAUUUGUCAGUACACCACAUGAAAUACAGAGAUAUGUCUUAAUUCUAAUCUUUCAUUAGCGACACCAUUUCUUACCCGAGUGCCUCCUUCAUUCAUACAUCUUGUACUUUAACUCGAGAUACCCAUCUUUGAAUAUUUUUAGUAUACCAAGUACUACAAUGUCAAUGUAUUGAAGUCAUGUUCUUGUAGUGUUAUUGGCUUUCUAUUAUCUUGUCAAAAUACCACUUGGUUCUCGCAAAAUCUCAAUAAAAACAAAUGCUAUUGCAUGUAUUGCAUAUUCUAACAGCUAUCCACUGUAUCGAUUUAUCCAUCAUCUGUACUAUUUGUCACAAAAAUGUUAUAUUAUGUAAAUCAUAUUUCAUUACAUAAUGCACACUGCCAAGUACUGCUGAACCAUUUAUAUGUCAUUUAAAUAAAUAAUUUUCAACUUUUUAAAA